CUACGGGGUGCUGCAGUAAGGAAUAUUGCACAAUGGGGGAAACCCUGAUGCAGCAACGCCGCGUGGACGAAGAAGGCCUUCGGGUCGUAAAGUCCUUUUCUGAGGGAAGAGGAAGGACGGUACCUCAGGAAUAAGUCUCGGCUAACUACGUGCCAGCAGCCGCGGUAAAACGUAGGAGGCGAGCGUUAUCCGGAUUCACUGGGCGUAAAGGGCAAGUAGGCGGUUGUUUAAGUUAGGUGUGACAUCUCUCGGCUUAACUGGGAGGGAGCGCUUAAAACUAGGCAACUAGAGGGCGGAAGAAGGGGGUAGAACUCCAAAUGUAGCGGUGGAAUGCUCAGAUAUUUGGAAGAAUACCAGUGGCGAAGGCGACCCCCCGGUCCGUGCCUGACGCUGAGAGGCGAAAGCUAGGGUAGCGAACGGGAUUAGAUACCCCCGUAGUC
Molecule: ribosomal RNA, 440 nt
Filed under: uncultured bacterium
Lineage: Bacteria
Description: partial 16S ribosomal RNA
Rfam family: Bacterial small subunit ribosomal RNA
Source: RNAcentral